ACACCUCAACCCUCUAAUGUUUUUGCAUUGAAGGCGUUGGUAGUGAGCGCUGCCGGUCUUUGGGUCGGCUCGCUUUAAAAUAAUUAGCUGGAUCCAUUCUGACCUGGUUCUACUCGGCGUAAUAAGUUAUUAUCGUCGAGGACGCCUAGCCUUCUAGGCAGGCGGCCACAGUAAGGGUGUUUGAACCGCUUCCAACACGUCUUGCUCUUGUAGCAAACACUUGAACCU
Molecule: unclassified non-coding RNA, 228 nt
Filed under: uncultured Geminibasidium
Lineage: Eukaryota; Fungi; Basidiomycota; Geminibasidiomycetes; Geminibasidiales; Geminibasidiaceae
Description: sequence contains ITS2
Source: RNAcentral